AGGCGGGACACUAAAUGGGGAUUACAGAGAGACACUUUUUUUGGAUUUGGUGGUAAAGUGAAAAUUUCUAUUGAUCAAACAUUUUCCCGGGGAAUUUGUGAAUGAAUGCGGUAUCGAAUAAACAUUUAGUGUUGAGCUGGGAGAUUCCUUAACUUUUUGUGCCAUUCAUGAAAACUACAUCAAGGAAAAUGUGGUUAGUAGGUUUCAAAUAUUGUGAAUGGCUUUAGUGAUAAAUACCUGUACUGUAUGGGCCAAUUGAAGUAGAGUUUUAUAAAAAUAAAA
Molecule: long non-coding RNA, 282 nt
Organism: Lutzomyia longipalpis
Lineage: Eukaryota; Metazoa; Arthropoda; Insecta; Diptera; Psychodidae
Exons: 2
Source: RefSeq, a predicted model, not a curated record